UACGUAGGGGGCUAGCGUUGUCCGGAUUUAUUGGGCGUAAAGAGCGUGUAGGCGGCCAGGUAGGUCUGCUGUGAAAACUCGAGGCUCAACCUCCAGCUGUCGACGGAAACCGUGUGGCUAGAGUCCGGAAGAGGAGAGUGGAAUUCCUGGUGUAGCGGUGAAAUGCGCAGAUAUCAGGAAGAACACCCGUGGCUAAGGCGGCUCUCUAGUACGGUACUGACGCUGAGACGCGAAAGCGUGGGGAGCGAACAGG
This 253-nucleotide ribosomal RNA is filed under the name uncultured bacterium. RNAcentral's name for it is "partial 16S ribosomal RNA". It matches the Rfam family "Bacterial small subunit ribosomal RNA", at positions 524 to 776 of the family's 1533-position model. The record is from RNAcentral.